Molecule: long non-coding RNA, 702 nt
Filed under: Medicago truncatula (barrel medic)
Lineage: Eukaryota; Viridiplantae; Streptophyta; Magnoliopsida; Fabales; Fabaceae
Description: long non-coding RNA (MTRU_LNC000013)
Source: RNAcentral
GAAGGUGGUGGUGGGGACUUGUAGACAUAUGGUGGUGGAGGUGAAGGAGAGGGAGGAGGUGGAGAGUUGUAGACAUAAGAAAGGGGUAGCGAUGCAUAUGGUGGUGGAGGAGAUUUGUAAACAUAUGGAGGCGGUGGUGAAGGAGAGGGAGGUGGAGGAGAUUUGUAGACAUACGGUGGAGGAGGUGAGGGAGAAGGAUGUGGUGGUGACUUGUGCACAUAAGGCGGAGGUGGUGAUGGGGAUGGUGGUGGUGGGGACUUGUAGAUGUAAGAAAGGGGUAGUGAUGCAGAUGGUGGAGGAGGAGACUUGUAGACAUAUGGAGGUGGUGGUGAAGGAGAGGGAGGUGGAGGAGAUUUGUAGACAUAUGGUGGAGGAAGUGAAGGAGAAGGAGGUGGUGGUGACUUGUAAAUAUAAGGUGGAGGUGGUGAUGGGGAUGGUGGUGGUGGGGACUUGUAGAUGUAAGAAAGGGGUAGUGAUGCAGAUGGUGGAGGAGGAGACUUAUAGACAUACUUAGGUUGUGGUGAUGGAGAGGGAGGUGGAGGAGAUUUGUAGACAUAUGGCGGAGGAGGUGAAGGAGAGGGAGGUGGUGGUGACUUAUAAAUAUAAGGUGGAGGUGGUGAAGGAGAUGGUGGUGGUGGAGAUUUGUAUGUAUAUAAUGGAGCUAAUUUGGGGUAGAGGUGUGCGUGUUUUGCAUGAUGUGGG